UAGGGAAAGUAGGCAAUCGCCAUUACCUGACGGUGGUGGAGGAAAGUCUGGACUUCACAGGAGCAGGAUACCAGCGAAAGGCUGGGGGCCGAGAGGCUACGGAAAGUGUCACAGAAAACAUUCCGCUACAGCGAUGUAGACAGGCUGAAAAUGCUAGCUUUGAGAGCUAGCCUGACUGAUCGCAAGGUCAGCAGCGGCAAACCCUAUCCGAAGCAAGUGAACCGAUCGCAAUUGCGCUCCGCAAGAUUGGUUCAGAUACGCUUGAGGCGCGCUAGCAAUAGCCGCCCUAGAUGAAUGAUUGCCCACGACAGAAUCCAGCUUACCGCUUUCCCUAUUUU
RNAcentral lists this RNase P RNA (338 nucleotides) under Chlamydiales bacterium. Its description in RNAcentral is "RNase P RNA component class A". It matches the Rfam family "Bacterial RNase P class A". Rfam says of the family: Ribonuclease P (RNase P) is a ubiquitous endoribonuclease, found in archaea, bacteria and eukarya as well as chloroplasts and mitochondria. Lineage: Bacteria; Pseudomonadati; Chlamydiota; Chlamydiia; Chlamydiales. The record is from RNAcentral.